This 499-nucleotide ribosomal RNA is filed under the name uncultured bacterium. Its description in RNAcentral is "partial 16S ribosomal RNA". It matches the Rfam family "Bacterial small subunit ribosomal RNA", at positions 30 to 523 of the family's 1533-position model. The record is from RNAcentral.
AUUGAACGCUAGCGGGAUGCCUUACACAUGCAAGUCGAACGGCAGCGCGGACUUCGGUCUGGCGGCGAGUGGCGAACGGGUGAGUAAUGUAUCGGAACGUGCCCAGUAGCGGGGGAUAACUACUCGAAAGAGUAGCUAAUACCGCAUACGCCCUACGGGGGAAAGGGGGGGAUCGCAAGACCUCUCACUAUUGGAGCGGCCGAUAUCGGAUUAGCUAGUUGGUGAGGUAAAGGCUCACCAAGGCGACGAUCCGUAGCUGGUUUGAGAGGACGACCAGCCACACUGGAUUGAGACACGGCCCAGGCUCCUACGGGAGGCAGCAGUGGGGAAUUUUGGACAAUGGGGGCGACCCUGAUCCAGCAAUUACGCGUGUGCGAUGAAGGCCUUCGGGUUGUAAAGCACUUUUGGCAGGAAAGAAAUCGCACGGAUUAAUACUCUGUGUGGAUGACGGUACCUGCAGAAUAAGCACCGGCUAACUACGUGCCAGCCGCCGCAGUAA